UUGAGCCGUCACACGGAA
Molecule: small nuclear RNA, 18 nt
Filed under: Arabidopsis thaliana (thale cress)
Lineage: Eukaryota; Viridiplantae; Streptophyta; Magnoliopsida; Brassicales; Brassicaceae
Description: snRNA_06364
Source: RNAcentral